Molecule: unclassified non-coding RNA, 250 nt
Filed under: plant metagenome
Description: partial contains small subunit ribosomal RNA, internal transcribed spacer 1, and 5.8S ribosomal RNA
Source: RNAcentral
GUAGGUGAACCUGCGGAAGGAUCAUUACAAAUCAGUUGUUUGUGGGUGGGGGGAGAUAGAUGGGUGUGGGUGAGAGUAGGUGAGUGAGUAUGAGGGUGCGAAAGCACUCUUGCAUUCGUGAGCCUGCACCACUCUACACCCUAAUCUCUCCUCCACACUGCAGACACAUAAGCACGGGGCCGCAAGGCCCUGAUGUUCACGCUUGUAUGUUUGACAGAGUUAUAUUGUGACUAAAAAAGACAACUUUUAA